CACGCAGGCGGUCUGUCAAGUCGGAUGUGAAAUCCCCGGGCUCAACCUGGGAACUGCAUUCGAAACUGGCAGGCUAGAGUCUUGUAGAGGGGGGUAGAAUUCCAGGUGUAGCGGUGAAAUGCGUAGAGAUCUGGAGGAAUACCGGUGGCGAAGGCGGCCCCCUGGACAAAGACUGACGCUCAGAUGCGAAAGCGUGGGGAGCAAACA
RNAcentral lists this ribosomal RNA (207 nucleotides) under uncultured bacterium. Its description in RNAcentral is "partial 16S ribosomal RNA". It matches the Rfam family "Bacterial small subunit ribosomal RNA", at positions 568 to 774 of the family's 1533-position model. The record is from RNAcentral.